RNAcentral lists this ribosomal RNA (497 nucleotides) under uncultured bacterium. Its description in RNAcentral is "partial 16S ribosomal RNA". It matches the Rfam family "Bacterial small subunit ribosomal RNA", at positions 28 to 507 of the family's 1533-position model. The record is from RNAcentral.
GAGGAAAGCUGGCGGCGUGCCUAAUACAUGCAAGUCGAGCGAACAGACGAGGAGCUUGCUCCUUUGACGUUAGCGGCGGACGGGUGAGUAACACGUGGAUAACCUACCUAUAAGACUGGGAUAACUUCGGGAAACCGGAGCUAAUACCGGAUAACAUGUUGAACCGCAUGGUUCAACAGUGAAAGACGGUCUUGCUGUCACUUAUAGAUGGAUCCGCGCCGCAUUAGCUAGUUGGUAGGGUAACGGCUUACCAAGGCAACGAUGCGUAGCCGACCUGAGAGGGUGAUCGGCCACACUGGAACUGAGACACGGUCCAGACUCCUACGGGAGGCAGCAGUAGGGAAUCUUCCGCAAUGGGCGAAAGCCUGACGGAGCAACGCCGCGUGAGUGAAGAAGGUCUUCGGAUCGUAAAACUCUGUUAUUAGGGAAGAACAAAUGUGUAAGUAACUAUGCACGUCUUGACGGUACCUAAUCAGAAAGCCACGGCUAACUACGUG